ACUAUUUUGGCAGAUUAGUGUGAUAAAUUUAGAAUUUAUUUAAGUAUAUAAUUGAAAUAUACAUAUAGUA
Molecule: transfer RNA, 70 nt
Filed under: Abia mengmeng
Lineage: Eukaryota; Metazoa; Arthropoda; Insecta; Hymenoptera; Cimbicidae
Description: tRNA-Leu
Source: RNAcentral